RNAcentral lists this small nuclear RNA (198 nucleotides) under Crocodylus porosus (Australian saltwater crocodile). RNAcentral describes it as "U2 spliceosomal RNA (ENSCPRG00005004412.1)". It matches the Rfam family "U2 spliceosomal RNA". From Rfam's summary of the family: U2 is a small nuclear RNA (snRNA) component of the spliceosome (involved in pre-mRNA splicing). Complementary binding between U2 snRNA (in an area lying towards the 5' end but 3' to hairpin I) and the branchpoint sequence (BPS) of the intron results the bulging out of an unpaired adenosine, on the BPS, which initiates a nucleophilic attack at the intronic 5' splice site, thus starting the first of two transesterification reactions that mediate splicing. Lineage: Eukaryota; Metazoa; Chordata; Crocodylia; Crocodylidae. The record is from Rfam by way of RNAcentral.
AUGACCAUCUUGGCUUUAGGCUAAUAUCAGGCAUAGUUUGCAGGCCCUGCAGCCUCUCCCGGCCCUCUGAUAUGUCCUCCACAGGAGGUCUAUAUUGAGCAAAUUCUUUUUGGUGUUGGGUGGUGGAACCGGAGCGUGCUCCAUCCACUCCAUGCAUUGACCUGGUAUUGCAGUGCUUCCAGGACCGGUGCAAAAAAA